CAGGGAACAAUGCCAUAUUGAGCAAAUCUUUGCAAGUUUCCACUCAUUGUAUAUAUCAGGGAUGGCGAACCACUGACCCACGGGUCACAUAGUGACCCACCACGUUUUAUUCGUGACCCGCCAAGACACAAAUAAAAUACUAACUUAUCAGUGAUAAAAAUUGUCUGGUCUAGUUCGGAAGUGCAUCCAUCUUCAGACUGUUUCACGGGUUAUACGAGAACCAGAUGCUACUUUGCAUUUUAUUAGCUACUCGCUUACAAUGUCGUUGAGAAAACAAAAUCUUUCAGACUUUAAAUAAAAACCUAGAGAUCUGAAAUAACAAUGGAGCAGUGUGAGAGUGUUUUAAAUGUGGUUGAAAGCUGAUCGAAAAAUAUAACUUUAUCAAAGUCGAUUCCCUCCUAACUCUUUGUAACAGUAAAAUAAUUUGCCGUAUCAUCCUGAACGUUGUGGUAAUUCAUAUGCAUGUUUUCGUACUCAUAAUUUCAUAAAAUCGAGUGCCAUAAAAACUCCCUGAUAGAAGUACUGCAUAAGUAAAGCACAAAACUACACCAACAGAAGCUUAUAGGAUUUGUUUCAGAAGUUACCUAUAGAUAAAAACAUAGACAAAUAUUCGUAACCCCAUUUCUCUUCUGUUCCGCGAUAAAAAUAUAAUUUUUGACCCAAUCAUCGGGAAAGGUUUGCCACCCCUAUUAUAAGUCAUCAAUGGUAGAACAGAUAUCAUAUUUCGCAUAGAAACCUAGUUCAUGAAAACGCGCAUCGACUGUCUGCUUACCACUGGACAUCGCCGUUAUUCUGCUAGCCUAACAUUAAGGUACGGUACGUAACUACGAUUGUUGGGCAUUGCUGGACGUCCGUUUUUCGUGUAGGCAUAUAAUAACCAUCGUGGUGUGACCAUACACAAAAGCAAUGGAAGAGCAGUCAAAGAAAUCUGGUGCCGAGCAGAAGAAACUAAUUGUUGCAGUUAUUUUUCUCUUGAUUGUGAUUGGCAUAGUCGUAGCCAUACUUGCGCUCCUUAUGCAAGGAGAUGAAUCGAUUGAUCCAAGAUAUUUCCAAAAAGCAUCAUGUGAAGUUGAAAAUCCAUCACCAAUAGAAACAAAUGCUUGCUUGAGGGUCAAUUGUACGUUUGUUUCAUCGGUUUGUGAUACUUCUUGUCCAUUCGACUAUGAGACUGAUCCUGUAACUAAAUGUCAAAUUAGCUGCGAAUGUGCACCUUCCGGAAUUUAUCAAGGGGAUAUUAAGUUUGUUCCUCAGCAAGUCAAAACCAUGUCUGAAAAGUACGGAUAUGUCGAUGAGGACGAUUUUGAUCUUUUUUAUGGAUCCAGUAAAUCUGAUACUAUAUUAUGGAAAGAAAAUGAAGUUAAUGGAAGAUAUCAGAUUGGAUAUGUUUACGAUUCUACAAUAAAGCCAUCUGUGGCAAAGAACAUAGAAAAAGCUAUGAAGUUGAUGGCAGAAAGUAUAUGUAUUGAUUUUGUGCCUCAUACAAAUCAAGAACAUUACAUUGAGUUUGACACUGCUGAUGGAUGUUCGUCUAAUGUUGGAUUAGUUAAAGACUCAGAGACCCCGCAGAAAGUUUCAAUUGGUCAUGGAUGUGAUGAUUCGAGAACUGUUCAUCAUGAGCUCAAGCAUUUGCUUGGAUUUGGGCAUGAACAUUGUAGAGCUGAUAGAGAUGCGUAUAUUACAGUGAAAUUGGAAAAUGUUAAAGAGGGUAUGGAAAACAACUUUGUUAAAAUAAAAAAAGAAAAUGCUGUAAUAAGUGGAGUACCUUAUGACAUCACAUCAGUGAUGCAAUACGAAAGUGGAUAUUUUAUGAAAACCCUCGGAAGAUAUACAGUGGUGGAAUAUGGAACGGAAUUACCACUCAUUCUAGAUAUGGGGAUAAGAUAUACCGAAUAUGAUGCAUUUGAAAUUAACCAACUUUAUGGCUGCCUGGAUCCUGUAACAACCGCAACAUGGACUGAAUGGGGUGAUUGGUCACCUUGUGAUGCAACUUGUGAAAAAGGAGAAAAAUAUAAAUAUAGAAGAUGUGAAAAUGCUGAAGGAAAGCAUGUCAUUGGAUGUCCUGGAGAACCACUUAUGAUUGAACCUUGUUCUAUACGAACAUCUUGUCCACCAAAUGAUGUCUGGAAAGAAUGGGGAGAGUGGGGUGAAUGUGAAGUCUCAGAAUUCCAAAGCUUUCGAAUGAGGACACGAGCAUGUGCUUCAUUUGACGGAUGUACUCAAGGGAUUGGAAUUAAUGUAGAAGAUUGUCCUAUGGAAAUUGAGUCUACUAAUACUUGGGGACCCUGGAGUGAAUGCUCUAGUACUUGUAAUGGACAAAGAGCAAGACAAAAACUGUGUAAUGGUGAACCUUGUCCUGGUGGAAUACCGUACUAUAGCUUUUGUAAUACUGAUUGCGGAGUUCUACCUCCAGCCGAGCACGCAAUAUGGAGUCAGUGGACGGAAUGUUCUGAAACCUGUGAUGGUAUACACAGCAGGCAAAGAUUGUGUGGAGAAACGUUUUGUGAGGCGUCGUCUCCUGUGAAAGAAGAAUGCAAUGUAGGAAGAUGUGGGUAUAGCGAUUGGAUGUGGAUGACUUGGACAGAGUGCUCUGCCACCUGUGAAGGAACCCAAACUAGGCGUAAAGUAUGCGACAGGGGGAGGAGAUGUUCAGACGAUGAAGAGUCAAAAGAAUGUAAUUCUAAUCCAUGCUCGGCAACUGCAGGUUCAUCAUAUUCAUCAACAUUGUACACAACAACAACACCUGGGUCAUAUUCAUCAGCAUUGUACACAACGACAACAACACCUGGAUCAAAUCCAUCAAUGUUGUACACAACGACGACAACACCUGGAUCAUAUCCAUCAAUAUUGUACACAACAACAACCCCGGGAUCAUAUUUAUCAACAUUAUACACAACAUUGACAACAACAACCGCACCUGAAAAUGCAGGAGAUUGGGGGCUUUGGUCAAGUUGUUCAGCUACUUGUGAUGGCACGAGGGUCAGAUACGAGUUUGUUUGAUGUAAAAGAAGACAGUGUACCAAACCUAUGUGGUGGGGCAGGUAGUCAGUGGUAUUUUGGUGAUUUUAAUGGGGAUAGAAGAACUGACGCAGCUUGUAUUGAAUUAGACGGAAAUGUUGCAAUUGGACAUACAACAACUUCUGGUUUAAUGACUAAACUACAUUGGAAAAGUCGAAUUUCUCCUUGUGCCAGUGCGGAUAUUUACUUGGGAGACGUUAAUGGGGAUG
RNA transcript from Styela clava, 3224 nucleotides. RefSeq lists it as uncharacterized. NCBI's taxonomy places the organism in Eukaryota, Metazoa, Chordata, Ascidiacea, Stolidobranchia, Styelidae. The record is from RefSeq and is a predicted model, not a curated record.